GACGAACGCUGGCGGCGUGCUUAACACAUGCAAGUCGAACGGAAAGGCCCUGCUUUUGUGGGGUGCUCGAGUGGCGAACGGGUGAGUAACACGUGUGUAACCUGUCCCUGACUUUGUGAUAACUUCAGGAAACUGGGGCUAAUACCGGAUAGGAUCUCCUGCUGCAUGGUGGGGGUUGGAAAGUGUCGGCGGUUGGGUCUCGUCUCGCGGCGUAUCAGCUAGUUGGUGAGGUAGCGGCUUACCAAGGCUAUGACGGGUAGCCGACCUGAGAGGCUGAUCGGCCACACUGGAACUGAGACACGGUCCAGACUCCUACGGGAGGCAGCAGUAGGGAAUCUGCCGCAAUGGGCGAAAGCCUGACGGAGCAACGCCGCGUGAGUGAUGAAGGUCUUCGGAUCGUAAAACUCUGUUAUUAGGGAAGAACAAAUGUGUAAGUAACUAUGCACGUCUUGACGGUACCUAAUCAGAAAGCCACGGCUAACUACGUG
RNAcentral lists this ribosomal RNA (488 nucleotides) under uncultured bacterium. RNAcentral's name for it is "partial 16S ribosomal RNA". It matches the Rfam family "Bacterial small subunit ribosomal RNA", at positions 28 to 507 of the family's 1533-position model. The record is from RNAcentral.